This is a long non-coding RNA of Manis pentadactyla (Chinese pangolin), 10439 nucleotides long. RefSeq lists it as uncharacterized. The transcript has 3 exons. Lineage: Eukaryota; Metazoa; Chordata; Mammalia; Pholidota; Manidae. The record is from RefSeq and is a predicted model, not a curated record.
UUCUCCCAACAGAACUGGGCACAUUCCUGCUCUGGCAUCAGUGUGUCACAUCAGUAACUUAGUGAUGUAACAUCAUGUGAAGCUGGUUGUUCAGUGAGUUUAAUUGUCAAGUCAAAUGUAUAAAGAAAGGCUUUCUGAAAUGCACUUGUGUAUUUGCAAUGCAAUUAUUAACCUUGCUGAGCCUCAGUCUUGUAAUUUGUACAUUGGGAGCCCUCUGAAACUGAAGUGUGUCUUUAGGAUUACAGAUGAUGUAAGGAGUUUAAAUAUAGCCAGACUAACCAAGCACUCAGAAACAAACAGCUAAUAUAAUAGUUUGGGAUAAAAGCACAGAUGCCAAUUUUUCUUUUUAUGACCUCUCCUCUCCUUUAUCAAAUAUCUUCAAAUAUAUCUGAAAAUCGGUACACCAUAAAUUCUAUACAUCUUGGUUGAAGAAAAUUUCCAUCCCCAAAUUCUGAUCUCCAUAGUAUCCUGCCAAUGACCUAUGCAGCUCUUUGGGGAUCCUUAAAUAGAGAAAGAGGUAGGGAGUAAUUUUUAAUUUUGAAAAAAAUGAAAGUCUUAGAAAUGGUUAUAAAAUUUAUAGGGAAUGAAGAUAAAUUUAGAGAAAUGUUUCAAUGAAAACAUGAAAGCAGCCACCUCAGCACAAUGAUGAUGAAAGAAAGAAGGGAGGAAGGGACAAAGAAAACAGGAAGGGUAAAGAAAAGAAAGGAAAAAAUUGCAGGGUGUGGAAAAGAGAUUUUAGGACUUGGGAGACCUAUGAACCAAAGCGGAAGCAAAACACUCCCCAAAUGGUCAUGUCACUCGCUUUUCCCCAUGGGAUAUUGUUCCUGUAGUAAUAUAGAAACUAACCCCAAAGGGGGUCAGGUGUACAGGAGAACAAGACCUCUGUUUCCACAAUUUGUUCUUUAUUCCCAGGAGUUGAUCUGCAAAUAAAGCUUGUUUUAGAGUCCAUUGUUAUGAAAUUGUUUCAUCACCUGCCAAUUAUUAGGAAACAUCAAAAAUAUUUGGUGAUUUGAAAGAGCAGGCAGCAGACAAGCAGAGGCUCUGAGAGCCGUUCCAUCGCUGCAGACAUUACUAGACUAAUACUUUUUCUCUGCUCGUGUUCACGGAACCGAAAGUAAGCUGCAAGGUGGGCUGGUCUGUGUCCACAUCUGGCGUGCCCCCGCUGUCAAUUACUCCUCUCAGGCAAGCCAGUGACCUGCAGCAGAGUCAGGUACCACCAUCGUUAGCCAGUUGUGAUUGACUGCCUGUAAUGUGACAUGCCAAUCGCUUCCCACCUCUGUCUGUCAUGUGUUGCUGUAGACAACUUUCGCAUUUGCUUUUCUUCUCUGUGUGUAGGGGUUGAGGGGAUGAGUUGUGGCAGUCUGUGUUUUCAUCCAAAAAGGAGUCUUUCUUCCCUGUGAUUGGUGACCCUUUCUUUGCUGUCUGUUACCAAAUCGUUUUUUGUUGUGGUUUCCAUCAUUCUGUAAUAUAAAUGUAGUAAACUUGUAUUAAUAGUUCUGUGUAUCAGUUUACUAUUCCUGGCUUCUAUAAAAGCAGAUUUAUAUCAGUGUAAAGGAUGCAAACACAGGUCUAAGGCAUUUCAAAGCACCUGCCUAGUGACUUUGUCUUCAAACUCUGUGCUGGCCUACAGGAUCAAACGAAGUAUCUCUGAAGGCUGGUUGACCUAAGGCUCAUUGGUUUGCAACUAUAUGGUUUCUAAUAUUUAGUUCUUCCCAGAGAUAAAAUGAGGAAUUGCCUAGCAGGAAAAAAUGAAUAAGGCUCACAGAGGUGGAGAAAUAGCAAAAAAUCCCGAAUUAAAAUAAUUGAGAAUCAAGAGGCUAAAUGAGCUACUGUUGCUUUCUCCAGUUAGCUGUUCUAAUGGUUGUUGAUCAUGUACUCUAGUGUAUGGUGAUGGUCUUAGAGUGUUACAGCCGAAGGGAUAUGGUGACAUGAAGGGUAGAGAGCUCUACACACGAGGUCCUCACUUUUACAGAUGCUGCUGGAACCCAAAGAGUCUGAGUGAGUCUCAGUGAUAUGUGCCAGGAACCUCAGUAAGUUUGCAGAAGGACCACGUCUAGAACCCAAUGAUCACAUGUCUUGUAGUAGCUUAUUAUUUGAUAUUAGAGACUGAAAUAUGAAUUUGCUGUCCGUUUUGUUUCUACCAAGAAGAAACUCACUUUGGAUGAGUGCCUAUGAAAAUCAUUCAUUAACUUGGGGGUCUUUCCCCUUUGGUCAAUCAGGAGGAGCUGCCUUAUUGGCCAGCUGCUUGGAGCUAGAAUGUACUGAGGUCUGUGAGCAACGGGACCAGGACGGGCUGCAAGAACCCAGGACACCAUGGACUCUUGAGGUGGUUCCAGGAAGAUGAAUCAUUUGCACACUAAAUCCCAGUCGAGCCCCUGGGACAGUGGGUUCCUUUGCUGUAGGCAGGAGUUAGAGGCUCUCCUCCCUCUCCCUGUCCAGGAGGCGAGGCCGCGGCUUGUGGCCCCUGUAGGGGCGCGAGGAGCGGCCGAAGCGAAGCUGGUGCCCUGUGGCACGGAGGGAGGCUCUUGAGCGCGAGUGGCUGGGCUGCUUUCCGAGGCGCGGCUACGGCCGCCACGCUGACGGCUGAGGCCAUUCCGGUCCUGGCCGGAGAGGUGCUCUAUAUUUUGAAGAUCACUAUGCCCACAGGGUAGCAAUUAAAUCCAAAUUAAAGGAAGCAAAAGUAGUUAUUGAAGGAAGGAGUCCCUGUAGUCAUCAAUUCCAAAAUCUAUUCAAGUUUACAGUGAAAAGAAGGACAUUCCUCACUUUUCAUAGGCACUUGGGUUCUCCGCUGGUCUGGCUUUCCUCCCCAUUCCUUCAGUGACCAGGUUUAAUUUAUGGGAGCUCCAGCUUUGUCUUCAGAAAAAUCCUUUUAGGAAUAGUAGGGAUUUUUUGUGUGUGAUUUUGUAUGAACCUGAAAGCCGGUACUAUGGGUCAAAGAUAUAACCAAUAAUAACAGCAAAUUGACACUACUAAUACACAGUGCUUGAAAGUCUUUAUUUGUACUUAUAUGUUCUUCACAAUAACCAUUAAGAUAUUGUCAUUAUGUCCACUUUAUAGAAGUGAAAAUUGACACAUAAGAAGGUUAAGAAUUUACAUCAGAAUCACCCAUUUUGUCCACACAAAAUCACAUCUUAUGUGUUGUUCACAGAAUGCCACUUGAGCGGUGGUAUGGACAGGAAUCAACCUUAGGAAUCUGAUUCCAGAUUUUGCACUCUUUGCUCCAGGACUCUGGAAUCCAUGCUUUCCAUCAUUAUCACUUCUCAAAAUGUCCCCUUUAUCUAAAAUACUUUUCAAGGUCUCUUUCCAAGUACUGCAUCUCAUCUGCUCUCAAAUAAAUACUCUCUGCUCUCCCCAGUCCUAAAAAGCUGUUCAUUUGAAUCCACCACCUAUAUGUGGGCUGCCCCCCAUAUUGCCCUCAUUUCUUCAAUUUUCCCACUUGACCUGCUAUGUCCAACCUUUCCUCCUCCCCAACCCCAUCUCUUUCUCCCUCUUGACUCUCCCACCAAUACCUAAGUAGCUGCCUCUGUGAAAGAUGACCCGUGCCCUUCUGCUCACUAAAUUCAGAGGCUAUGUCCUUGAGUUAACUGCGAGCAGUAUCUGCCAUUACGUCCUCCUGGUCACUCUUGAUCCCUUUUCCCAGAGGUUAUACCAUCUCUCCUGGAUUUUUCUUCUUUCUAAUUUUAGUUUGUCUGUUUCCUUUUCCUUUCCCUCACUCUAGGUAUGUGGUGAUAUAUGCUCUCUCCUCUGUGCUGUGCAUUUCUCUCUGUAGUUUCACUUUCUCUGCAUGGUCUCCUCACUGGAUCUUCCCAAAAUCUACAUCUCCACAAGAUGUAACUAUAUCAGUUACAAAGCAGCCAAAUCUGAAUCUUCAGGUAAAGGCCUGAACGUCAUGUAUUUUUAAAGCUACUCAGGUGUUUAUAAUGCCCUGGCAGGGUAGAAUAACACUGACAAAGGUCUAUGUAUUGACAUUUUAAGUGAAUUUUAUUAAGAGAAAAGUAAUUACACAAUUUAUAGUGUAGCUACUGUUAUAGUCAAGUACUAGUAUUAACUAUUCUACUAGUACUAACCUAGCUACCAGUAGAACAUAGGUAGAACAAGUUUCUGUGGGAGGGGCAGCUCCUGCUUUCCAUGGUCCUCCCGAGCUGUGAGCCACAGCAUUCGUUAUUUCAGUUGCAGCAUUUCAGGAAAUGAAUUAUCUCACCAUCUGAUGAAAGGUGUCCCUCUUGUAUAUCAUGUUAUCAGAGACAGGGAAAAUCAUCUGUUUACUUGAUUUCCAUAGACAGACUCUCCGAAUGUAUGCUUUCCUUAAAAUUAGGGGAGAUGCCUAUGCUUUGUAAUGCCCAACAGGAACAAUUACAAAGAUAAUGUUAUGUAAAACAUCUCAUAAAAUAUCUUCCACCCACCCUAGAAUCAUGUCUCACUGUUCUCUAAAGACUUUUCUUUUAUUUCUUCUGGGAACCUCCUUCCUUUGGCUUCCUCCAAAUACCAUCCUUCCCAUUUUAUUUUCCUGGGCUAUUUAGCUCUGAAGUCUCUUCACAACUACAAGCCUGACUUUGCAAACCAAAGGAUUCCACUAUGCUCUGCCAUCUAGCUUUCCAUCUUUUAGUCAAAAAAAAAAAAAAAAAACCCCAAAAACCAGAAGGAAAAAAAAAUGGAAAGGCUUAGACAUUUUCAUAUUCUCCCACCUGUGCCUACAGGAAAUACACUUAUAUUGUCCAGUGAUAUAAAUCAUGCGAUGUGCUUUAGGAUAUAAAAGGAGUCACAAUAAAAUUUGGUUUAAAAUAGCAAUUUUUCUCUGAGAGAUUUGCUUUUAUGGAUGGGUAUAAAAAAUGUUAAUAACAAUGUUUAUCUCUAGGUAAAGUAUGGAUUUGUAUGCUGUAUUACUUAGAAGAUAAAGUUCACUUAUCUUCUAAAUAUUUUAUUGUAUGUUAUAUAUAAAUCACAUAAAUUUGUAUAAAAUAUUUUAUAAAUAUGCAUUUAUAUAUAUAUAUAUCAUAUAUGUGAAUUAUAUUAUAUAUACAUUUUAUAACCAGAAAAGGCAUGAGUACAGAAAACAUUCUAGUCUCUUCUGUCACCUGCCGUUCAGUUAUUUCAAAAUUAUUACAAAAUACUUCCAAUAGACUGAUCAGAAUUCAUAAAUACUCCCUGACCUCUUACACCAACUUCCUUUCCCAUUACUUCAUGUAAUCUCCUUUCAUUUUUGACUUAGAUCUCACCUUCAUUUUCUUUCAUUCGUGCAUCUAUCCAUUCACCCAUUCAACAAAGAUUUAUUGGACCUCAUUGCAAGAGAUACCAUGCUUGGUGCUGUGUAGCCAGUCUAUAAAAUCUUCAUUUUUUCCUUUUUAAAUUAUUUUCUUCUUAAAAAGAGUCUGUGUUCAAAUUCCAGCUCCCCCUCUUUCUAGUGGUGGAAUCUUGUACAAGUUACUUAACUUCUCUGUAAGAUAUUAAUAAUAAUUUGAGCAAGAAAACUUCUUUAAAAAUACAUAUUUCAGCAUAGAACUUUCAAAAGUAUAGUCUAUGGAGACAUAUUUUAAAAAGAAAUAUAUUAGGAGAGGAAAAAGAGUCUAUGAUGCCAUAUAAGCUUUAGCACAAACUCUGAGGAUUGAGGAACAAGUGGGAGAAUUUCAUUGAUGUUGUGUUGACUGGCAACAUUCCCUAAAGUAUAGACAAAAGAGAAGUUGUGGUAACUAGGUAACUACACAUUGUGGUGAGCGUUUAGUAAUGUAUAUAAUUAUCAAAUCAGUAUGUUGCACACCUGAAACCAAUAAAAUAUAUUAACUCUGCUUCAAUUUUUAAAAGUCCUAUAAGGAAGGUUUUUUGCUGGAACAUGGUAAGAAAAGCUUGUUUCAGCUCUGAAGUAGAUGCUAAUAGAUGCCUGGCAAUCAGUCUUUAGAAAAUUCCUAUUACUGUGUUACCCAAAGUUUUUUUGUUUUCUUCCCUCAACCAAUUUCAGGGUUCUCUUCCUUGAGAAAAAUAUAAACAGAGGAUUGAAGGUGGAUAAUGAUCUUUUCUAAAAACUCACAUCCAUCAAAAGAAUCUUAAAAGCUAAAGAUGGCGAAUAGACAUUUUCCCAUGUGUAGGGUUUCCCAGCACUCUAUUCAGACACCUCCAGCCACGUGGUAUGCCUGUUAUCUAGGCUGGGAAUUGAGAUUUCUAGAACUCAUUGUCCUCAUCACAGAGAAACACAUGUGCCCUUCAAUAUCCAGAGGCUGAGGAGCUUUUCUAGUGUAAAAUUUUAUCACUAUUGUGCCGGAGUCCAGCUCUAGCUGAGGUGUGGGUCACGAAGGAAAGGACAGUGUCGGUGAGUGAGGAGACGAAACACCCAUUUAAGGUUGUAGCAUCUCCUGACAUCAAGCGGCAGGGUCUUUAUUUUUAUAUCUUUUUAAGGUUUACAUAAUGUUAAACGUUUUUCUUUAAUCAUGAAUAAUACAAUCCUUUUUCUGUCAGUUUACAUAAUUCCAGCUUAUUACCCUUAAGUAAGGAUCAUCAUUUCUUCUAAUAGUAGCCAUUUAACAUUUAAUUUUUAACUUUCCCCUAGUCUAUUGUGAUUACUAAUUUAUGUAAGCUACGUGCUAAGUACUAAACAGAAAAUGGCAUGAGACAGUGUUUGGGCUAAGCAUGUGGGCUAUGAUUUUUACUUAUAAGCAUGUAAAAUUAUAUAGAGUUUAAGAUAUGUGUCUAAGGCUAUAUAAAGUUUAAGCAGGUUAUAUAAAUGCAAGCUGUAUGUCUUUUGGUUAUUAAGUGUAAUGCUAUAUUAUUAAUUAAAUUCUAUCUUACACAUGUGGGUUAAGGCUUACAUCUAAAGUCUAGGGAUGGUACUCUUAUCACAUAAGUUUUAACAUUCCUCAACAUUCCUAUGAAUACAAUAAAAACACCUUAUUCUUUCAUAAUAUUCAUUCCACAAUUUCAGAUGUUCACACCUUUCCUCCUGCAUCCACAGGCACUAGGGCCUUGCAGUCCUCUUUAUCUUUUAUAUAAUAACACUAAAUCUGCUCUUACUACCUUACCAUUAAUAUAAUAAUAUUUUAUCAUAAAUUUAUUAUAAACUUCUAUAUAUGGGAUAAUUAUAAAUGUAAAUCUUCCUAUUUUGCUCAUAAAUUCUUUCUAUGAGGGGGGUACCAAAGGUGUCUUCUAAUAUUAUAAAGCAAAAUAAAGGGGGCCCUGGGCAGUGGGGACUAUCUUUAUUACUUUGCUGUUUCAUAUAAGUUUUUUGGGAAAAUGGGUUUUUCUAUGGCCCAGGUUCCCAUAACUUCUUCUCUGACAAUAUUCUAAAUAAUUCCUGGUUAGUCAUGUUUCAGUUCUUACAAAGGGGAGGACAAACUGCUUCUAGUUUUAAGAGAGGCCUGGGUUGUCCUGCCUCACUUAUUUGUGGCAGUAUGCCUGGAACAGUUGGUCCCAUAACAUAGUUUUUGUUUCCGGAAUUGCUGCUUUGAUCAAUAUUUUGGGUUAUGUUAUUUACUAAAGAUGAAUAAAUCUUAAAUACAAAAGAUUUCCCUUAUAUGAGCCCAACCACCAACAUCAUAAUUGCAAAAAUAAGUGCAGGAAUUAGCAGGGGCCAGCUAUGAGGUUUCCUGUUUUCAGGAUUCCUCCUCGUACCUGAACCUUGUCAAACAGCAUGAGCAGCAUGGCCCACACUGCCAGUGUGUUUCACAGAUCAUCUCACGGUCUGAUGAAGAAUAGUGGUUUUUAAUCCAAUUAGAAAACUGCUCUUACAUUGAAGGGAGUGCUUCAAUAGAAAUAAGCAAAUCAUACUUUUGUGCAAAUUAGAUAUAAAUUCAGCCCACUUUUCAUACUAGCACUCUAGUAAUUCUAUGCAAAUGAUCUGUUCACAGGAUAUUUUCGCUUGGCACUAACAGCCAGUAAAAACAAGAGGUGUUCCAAUAAAUAUUUGUUAACCUAAUUUGCUCUCACCCCACAAUGGAAGAAAGAACUGCUCUUAGAGUGUUUGAUUUUUGCAUCUAGCUUGUUUUCAUAUGAGGCCACUUGCUGCCAUAGUGGCCGCUAUUGAUCUACUGAUCCUUGGUUCCUCACCCAACGGAACUUAUCUCCACAUGUAGAUGGACCCAAUCACUUCUGAUAUGUUUCUACAUGUACUAUUACAGCUUUAAAAUAUUUUAAUAAAAUUUUAGCAUUGGAAGUUUAAUUUAAAAAAGACUUAUUGUUUCUUGAACACACAUUCAGUAAAUAGAAGAGAGUAAGAUAAAAAAGGGACAGGAGGAAAUAGCAGUGCAUCUGAAAAAUCUAAGGCAACUUCCAUCACUUUACCCACCAAAACAUCUACAUAUCGAUCCCUAGCCCUCCCUCACUGCCUCCCUCCUCCUUCCUCUCUCUCUCUCUCUCUCUCUCACUCACACACACACACACACACACACACACUUUUCCAGUGGUCUCCACCACUAUUUUUUGUAAUCUCAUACACUCUUGAAUGACACAGCCUUAGUAAAAUCAGUCUUCUAAAAACCAUAUCACACUUUUGUUUAAUAAAAGCCUAAUUAAUAGAAAACCAAGUUUCCAGACAAUUUUGAGGGGCUGCAAUGCUCCAUAGUUACUUUACAUGCCCUUAACUCAGUAUCUUAGGUACAUUUACAACCAUAUCAGGAAACGUGGAGCAAAGAAAAAAAUUAACCCUACUUCCCUUGAUCAUGUUUCCUGUUCGGAAGCCCUCUUAGAACUUCUUAAACAUCCGUGGACAUGACAUCACUCCCCAAAGAAUACUUUUUCAUAUCAAGUCAAGACCACCUCAUGAGUGUUGGGUAAAGAAGGAUACUAAGCAAAGGACAUGAAAACACCUGUUACUGGAGCACAUGGGCUCAAUACAUAGUUUAUUUGAGGUUAUUGAUAUGCACAUCAUCCUCUUGGAUAUCAGUGUGAUUAUGAAAUCCCAGUCUUGCUACCAUGCCUAAAAGAAACUUUAAACUGGAUGGAUACAACAAGUUUUCUGAAACUCCAGGAUUGCCUGAAAAUAUAUUUUAUUGAUUCUACUUUGCUUCCAAAUAAAGCAUAACAAGCAGAAAAUAAAAUGAUGUGGAGAGAAAAACAUAGGUCACUGUUUACUUCUAGGGUUGUUCUAUGAACUGUGCUUUCAAAAGCCCUGACCUGGAAGUGAGGCCUCAAGGCCUUUUUUUUCAGCUCUGUCCAUCCAGCCCUCUUUUUGGCUCGAUGAACUCAUAGGUCCGUCAUGGCGCCUUUGCCAGUGUUUCUGUGACUUUCAGUCUCUUUUGUCCUUUCAGCCUCUUAGUUAUUCUAUGCUAAUACACUCGUCAACCCUUAUUUAAAAAGUCAUUCAGUUUUAUUUUUGCAAGUUCAAAACCCAUCUUCCUGAUUGGUGGAAAAAAAAAGUCUUCUUGAGUCUGAGGAGCAUAUGAUGUAGUAAAUGCUUUAGAUGUUUUGUUUAUUUCAAGAAAAUAUGGAUUGACAACAAACAAUGUUAAGGACUUCUGCCCUUAUUAUAACCAAGAGGGUCACAUCAUCUCUCUGCAUGCAGCGACUAUCAUUGUAUCUUCUGUAUUAGAAAGAAAAGGAAAGUCCAACUUUCACCCCAGUGUGAACAUGAGCAAGGAACUCUACAAGGUCUCUCACAUUCUUAACUGUCAGCAGCAUAGGUCAUGGCCUAUUAAAUGUUAAUGCAAAAUUAAGUAUUUUCCCAGGUGAUCUUGUUUCCAAAUCCUCCAUCCAAUAUGAAAUAAACGUGACAUGACAUCCUUUUUAAGUGAUCCAAAUCAUACCAGACCUCAGAAGAAACGAAUCACAGACACUUAAUAGUUAUGCAGCUAUUGCUUUCAUUUAUGUAUUUGUUAAGCUAUUUAAAAAAUGCAUCUGCAGUGAGAUUGCUUUAUGUUCACAGAAUAGAUUAUGUAUUAAGAAUUAGGGCUUUUUCUUCUGAAGGUAGGAACAAAGGUCAACAAUUUAAUUACAAAGCCCUUGCCUAGGCUAUGGUAUUGCAGUGUAGGUCAUUUUUCAGUGAGGAAAAGGCAGUUCUAAAGAACUGUUUCUCUUGACUCUAUUUCAGUGCUGGAGAGUCAAAUAUCUCUUGUGUGAUAAUAAAACAAAUGUUUACAAAUUCCCUUAAGGAAAAGCAAUGAUUUCUCUUAUUAAAAUUACCAUUUUUGGGGAUUAUCAUGACUCGAGUAUUGGACAGCUACUCACAGCCAAGAGCCUACUCCUCUUGUACAUCACUUUUAUUGCUCUGCAUACAUGUUUUUCCUGAAAUAGAAAAAAAGUGAAAACUGAUUUUGAGUCAGCUCAAAAUUCAGUCAAGCUGAGAAUCAGCUGAGAAAUGCUGUCAGUUAAGCCAGCAGACAACAGCCACAACGACAAGGGCUCACGCUGCUGGGCUGCAUAAUGUCCAGCCUGGGGGAGAGCAGAGGUCAGAAAGUUCUUUGUCUUUGGCUCCCCUCACAGCUGUUCCCAUCUUGGCCACUAGGAGGAGCUAGUGAAAA